This 460-nucleotide ribosomal RNA is filed under the name uncultured bacterium. Its description in RNAcentral is "partial 16S ribosomal RNA". It matches the Rfam family "Bacterial small subunit ribosomal RNA", at positions 338 to 795 of the family's 1533-position model. The record is from RNAcentral.
CCUACGGGUGGCAGCAGUGAGGAAUAUUGGUCAAUGGACGAGAGUCUGAACCAGCCAAGUAGCGUGAAGGAUGACUGCCCUAUGGGUGGUAAACUUCUUUUAUAUGGGAAUACAAUGUUCCAAGUGUGGGAUUUUGUAUGUACCGUAUGAAUCAGGAUAGGCUAACUCCGUGCCAGCAGCCGCGGUAAUACGGAGGAUCCGAGCGUUAUCCGGAUUUAUUGGGUUUAAAGGGAGCGUAGGUGGAUUGUUAAGUCAGUUGUGAAAGUUUGCGGAUCAACCGGAAAAUUGCAGUUGAAACUGGGAGUCUUGAGUACAGUAGAGGUGGGCGGAAUUCGUGGUGUAGCGGUGAAAUGCUUAGAUAUCACGAAGAACUCCGAUUGCGAAGGCAGCUCACUGGACUGCAACUGACACUGAGGCUCGAAAGUGUGGGUAUCAAACAGGAUUAGAUACCCGAGUAGUC